Mastomys coucha (southern multimammate mouse) is the source of this 5195-nucleotide long non-coding RNA. RefSeq lists it as uncharacterized. The record is from RefSeq and is a predicted model, not a curated record. The transcript has 2 exons. Lineage: Eukaryota; Metazoa; Chordata; Mammalia; Rodentia; Muridae.
CACGUGCCGUCGCUGCGCCCAAACGGCCAGCAGAGGGCGCACGUGGACUCCAGAUUAACGGUCACUUCCCAGUUCAGUUUCACAAACCAAUUGAUCCAGGAGGGUCUCUUACCUCCCGGCCCAACGCCUAGCAAUAGUGGCCAAACCCAAACUGCAUUUGCUGAGGGUAGGAAAUUAUGAAGCCAUCUGUCGGCGUGAAGAAUGAGUGAAAAGUUCUGAAAACCAAGUUUCCAAAACAAUGUUCCGUUUGUUGCCAUCUGACUUCGCUCCGAUGCCCAGAUGAUGUAGACAGCCCCACCACAGCCAGUCCUUCCUUUUCCAGGCUCCUGUGGGCCUUCAACGGUCGGUCGGUCGGUCAGUCAGUCGGUCCGUCGGUCAGUCGAUCGGGUCGGGCGUCGAAGAUUUGGAGGAAUCGUCCCGUAACAGGGGCCUGCCUGUGUUUUGUGAGCUCUGUCCACAGAGAGUGCUGCCACGCUUCUGCCAAGCAGGAGAAGGGUCCGGGGGUCUCUGCGGCCCUGAAGGAAAGCCGUUUGCACAGAAGAUAAGCAUUUUCUGCAAGUCGUGAGUAGUGGAGGUGAGGAAGACGUGAGCCACACACCAAAAGAAAGGUGCCCUGGGUCAGGCACCACCUUUGUGCCCGAUGAGAAGAGACACACCCACCAGAGCCAAGAUGGAGCCACUACACUCUGUCCUGGAAGGGACAGCCAGGUGACUGCUCCCUAAAACCACACCCACUCUGUGGCUCCUUUCCCAAAGGUGCUUUAUCUGACUGAAGUCGUGUGCACUGUGAAGGCUGGCUGAUGCUUUAGGUCGGCAGGGAUGGGACAUUCCUGCUGCCGUGGAUCUCCUACGGAAGGUGCCUCCCUUGGUCUGCACAUGGCCUCAGUGGGAAGGCCUCGCCAGCACAUAAAGUGCUAUACUGCAGGCAUGCCAGAUCCUUGGCACCCAGUGUGUUUCUGGACCUGUGCCCUUCAGCCCAGGACCCUGUGCUCGCUGGCUACUUGUUCACAUGACGCUCUUGUUCAUAUGAUGCUGGAAACCUGUGCCCUUUCUAGACACCCUCUCUGUUGGUGUGAGUGGGUGGGCACAUGGGUACCACUCAGGGGUCGGGUACUGUGCUCCUACCCGGGAAGGAGUCUCCGCAGCAGUGUGUAGACGGGUACCUGCAUACCACGUGUGACUGUGUUGAGAAUCCUUGCUUAUGGCUAUGAUGUCAUUACUCCUCCUCCUCCUCCUCCAUCUCCUCCUCCUCCUCGUCCUCCUGGUUUGGGGUUGACAUCCUUGCUGUCUUCCCAACACCACCACUUAGGCCUCCUGUUGGAAAGGCAAGAAGAGCAAAGGCUCCCCAACGGUCCUCUCUCUUGUUCUCGGUAGCACCUGGCUGGCUGACUUCCCCUCAAAACCACUUCUGGGGUCUUCUCGCCCUCCCCUAUCUUCUCUUGGGUCCGGAGAGGGUGUGUGUGCCUGUUGAACGACCAUGGAGCCCACUCUGUGGCCAAGGAGCCUGCUGAUGAGCCAGAGCCAGGCCUCCCUGAGGCCUUUCCCCCAUACACCACAGAGCCAGAAUCCUCCUCUCUCCUGUCCUGGUGGACACCAGGCACAGGGAGAGCCGAGGCCUGGGGGAUGCUGUGGAGUUGGUUGUGCCCUAGGCAGGAUGGCCAAAGCCUAAGUGGACCCUGGGGAUCGGGGCCUGCCUGCCACCAAUGGCCCUUUGGCCCUGCCAUAGUGAGUGCUAUCUAAGCUUAGGAUGUAAGAAUCACCUCAUGCUCAAAUGCUCCUCCCAGGAGGUACAGAGCUGUGUCUCUUUCCCCACCUGGAAGGUAUUGGGAAGUUCCUAAGAGAGCAGGCCUCACCCAUGCUCACUGCUCUCCUGCUUGCUGCUUUCUGGGACCCGAUGUUCUGAGGAAGCAGGUGUCUUCUGCUUUGUCUAGGUCGUAGUCUCUGGUCUUUGGUUCAUUGUCCUGUGAUACAAUUUCUAAGGGCUGUUUAGUAAUUCUUUUGUUCUUCUAGGAGAUAGCAAGAAAUGGGGAGCAGUGUUAAUAAUUGGGUCUCUGAGCAAGUACAGUGAAGGAGCCUAGAAAUGGGUAUGUGUGGAACGCCAGGAAGCCUCAGUCCCCAUCCAGGUCAGGGGGCAGUGGUCUGGCCAGGUCCCUGGAAAGAUGUGAUGCAGGCCUUGCAGGCGGUGACCUGCAGCAGGUCCUGGAGCAGCUGAGCCCGUGUCUCGCAGCAGCCUGGGGACUACAGCCAGCUCAUGGACAGUAAAUGGGCAGGGGGAACUGGCCUGUCUCAGACCCAUGGUAGAUCCUCCUAAGCCUUGCCUUGUGAUGUGGCAUGCUGCUGCAGCACAACCUGCCUUCAGAGGCACCAGGGAGCAGGAUGCUACUGGGAUGGUAAAGGAGAGCAUCUCUGCAGGUCAACAGGGACUCCAGCUGCCAAUCUCAGGCUCUGACUCCCUUAACCUUGCUGGCAGGGCUACAUCUGACUGCCCAUUCUUUGGGCAGACCCCCGGAAUAUCUGGCUGGGCUCAUUUUGCCUCCCCUCUGCCCCUCUUGUGCCCCUGCUCCCCCCCCCCAACUUCACCACAUCUCCCCACAUCAGUGUGAAGAGCCUGACACACCUCUGUCUCUUGGUUUUUAAUCCAAUGCCCUUCCUGGUUUCCUUUGAUGGAGGCAUAGGUAACCCUGGGCUAUUUUCCAGUCUGCUGAGUGAUAACUUAGGCAAGGAGACUCCUAAACCAGGACAGGAGAACCUGGUGUCGGGGAUGACGGUGCCUUCACACAUUGCCUUUGCCUCGAUUGCCUUGGCAUCUUGGCAUUUAUGACCUUGGUAUGACCUUCAUCUUGCUGGUGACAGCACUAGUCCUUGGGGACUCCCUAACUUUUAGAAUGUGGCUUCAUCCUUUUUUGAAGGGUGGGGAGUUGUGAGUAGGGGGUGGGUCAAUACCGAGGCAGCAGACAUACCCACCCCUUCCUGUGUGCUCAGGGGAACUUGGUUUUGUGGUCCCUGCCUGGGCCUUGCAUCUAUCCUUGGGCUCUGUGUUCCUUGCAUUGGCCACAGCCAAGCCCUGUCUGUGGUUCUCAGCAGUUGUGAUGUGCUCAGUGGUCAGCUGGCUCUCCUUUGUCACAUCGUUCCUCCAUAGACAGAGCUCUGUUCCAGGGUCUGCGUGCACGGUGUGGCCUGAGCCUCCUGCAGCCUUUCCUCAUUGUCAGUAGUGAAGGUGAUGAAGCAAAGGUCACACUGGGUUCAUCCCAGCAUCAUCUUCUUUUUCUUGAUUGGAUGCCUUAUUCCUUCUCAGUCUCUAUGAGGUCUUGUGUGGUCCUCUCUGGGGUUGCUGAUCGAUUCUUCUUCUUUUUCACUCUUCUCCCCCCUUGACGGACUUGGGAGAGUCUCUGAGCACCAUGGAGCAGGCAGGCCCUCACAUGGCCAGCUGUCCCCUUACCUCCUUGUUCCCUGGCAUAGGCAAGGAUUCCUGCCCUGUUGGAUCCUGAGAGUGGGUGCUGCCUGCUGAGGAUGUAAGUCCUGACAACUGAUUGCUUCAACACAAAAGAUGAGUUCCUAAUAAGUGAGUAGUCAUUGACUGAAAAUAGCUCUGUACUUGGGAAGGCCAAGGCCAAGGUCCUGGCAGGUGGAUCCCCUGGUGUGAGCUCAGAGCUCCUGACCAGCACCUUAGAGCUGAGUUCCACAGGCAGAGGUUAACAGAGCUCCCCCUGGCCAUGUUCUCGAGGGCACUAAUUACAUUCAUGGAGGUGUGUGUGUGUGUGUGUGUGUGUGUGUGUGUGUGUGUGUGUCGGGUCCUGUACACAACCCUGUUCCUUUUCUCACAGCGGAAAUUAGUUCAUAACAUGAAUUUGGAGGGACACCAACUCUCAGGCCACGAAAUGUCCUAAUGAAUGUGGAAUUGACAGGAUCAAGAGGCUUCAGGUUGUGUCUGUGGCCUCUGGAUAAGGGGGGCAAAGGCCAGGGGUGGGAAGGGGGAUGGUUCCUGAUUGGUGGGAUCCGGGCUUAUGUGGAAUGGGUGACCCAGAACCUCAGGUGCUGGGCAGGGUGCUGUGGAGCAUGCAGAGCAGCACUGAAAGUCACUUCCCUUGACUGAGUGGAUGGGGGUGCAGCGGGGAGUAGACUCCCUUUCUGCCUCCUGCAUGACACAGCUUCAGUUCUGUCCUGCUUCUCAGACCUUGUUUCCGUCUGUAACUGCUGCUAUGCUCACUUUCCAAAGAAGCUCUGCCACUCCCUCUAGAUGGGAGGAGAUCUGGGUCCAUGUGGUUCAGGCCCAGAGAUAUCCUGAUGCUCCCUUCUCCCUCCCAGGUGUCUGUCAUCAUCCUUUCCUAUGGGUUCUUGCCUUGUGCCAGGCUUCUUCCAGAGCUGGAGGUGGUUGGGGUGGAGAUGGUUAGGGGCAAACAGGGAGAGGGAAUGGGGACAUUGGUCAGCUCUUUAGACAGUGUUGGCAAUGUGCCUCCUGGAGCCUCUCAGGGCAGCUCUUCACAGGAGGUCAGGCCAUGCCCCAGGGCUGGGCAGAAGCAUAGCCUUCACCACCAGACUUGCCUCCCAAGGCCUCUGCACAUGUGAGCCUGGUCUCUGUGGUGCCCAGCUUGCCUCUCUUUAUGCCUACUUCACCAUAUCUCUUUCUCUCAUCUGCUUGGUUUCUCUGAGUUCCAACAGUGCUUCAGACAGUUGUGGAAGGAAAGAAGAGCAGAGACUGUGUGUCUGUCUCCCUUGGGCUUUGCUUUGGCUCCCCCUUGCUGUCUGGUUCUUGUUGUCAACCUGUUUGGCCAAUUUCAAGCUAUUGAAUUCUGUCACACGUCAGAACAUAGAUGCCUACUGCUCACCAAAGAAAAGGCAAAGUGCUAGAGAGAUGGCUCAGAGGUUAACACUGCUUGCUCCAUUCUCCACAGGACCAGAUCUUAGACCCCCACACUCCUGUCAUAUGCCCAGCAUUCCUGCCAAUUCCUUUAAACCCAACUGUGGAGGGAUGGAGACAGGAGGAUGUCUGGGACUUGCCUGCUUUCAGCCCAGUGGAGAUGUGAACCCAGGGCUCAGGAAGAAACCCUGCUCUAAGAAACUAUGUAGAGGGACAGAGGAGGAUAGUAGUUGCCCUCUUCAGGAUCUGUGAGGGAGCAGGGGAACCCAGGGUACACACCAUAUGUCUUACAAAGGAAGGGAACAAAGCCCACAGCUCCGUACCCCACAGGAGCAGG